AGGGGUAUAGUUCAGUUGGUAGAACGUUGGUCUCCAAAACCAAAUGUCGUGGGUUCGAGUCCUACUACCCCUGCCA
This 76-nucleotide transfer RNA is filed under the name Tissierellia bacterium. RNAcentral describes it as "tRNA-Trp". It matches the Rfam family "tRNA". Rfam says of the family: Transfer RNA (tRNA) molecules are approximately 80 nucleotides in length. Their secondary structure includes four short double-helical elements and three loops (D, anti-codon, and T loops). The record is from RNAcentral. Lineage: Bacteria; Bacillati; Bacillota; Tissierellia.